RNAcentral lists this ribosomal RNA (301 nucleotides) under uncultured bacterium. RNAcentral's name for it is "partial 16S ribosomal RNA". It matches the Rfam family "Bacterial small subunit ribosomal RNA", at positions 509 to 809 of the family's 1533-position model. The record is from RNAcentral.
CAGCCGCCGCGGGAAUACGAAGGGUGCAAGCGUUAAUCGGAAUUACUGGGCGUAAAGCGUGCGUAGGCGGUGAGUUAAGUCUGCUGUGAAAUCCCCGGGCUCAACCUGGGAAUGGCAGUGGAUACUGGCUCGCUAGAGUGUGUCAGAGGAUGGUGGAAUUCCCGGUGUAGCGGUGAAAUGCGUAGAGAUCGGGAGGAACAUCAGUGGCGAAGGCGGCCAUCUGGGACAACACUGACGCUGAGGCACGAAAGCGUGGGGAGCAAACAGGAUUAGAUACCCCGGUAGUCCCUGUCUCUUAUAA